GCCGGGUGUGGUGGUGCAUGCCUGUAAUCCCAGCUAACCAGGAGGCUGAGGCAGGAGAAUUGCUGGAACCUGGGAGGCGGAGGCUGCAGUGAGCUGAGAUUGUGCCACUGCACUCCAGCCUGGGUGACAGAGCAAGAUUCUGUCUCAA
This 148-nucleotide non-coding RNA is filed under the name Gorilla gorilla gorilla (western lowland gorilla). Lineage: Eukaryota; Metazoa; Chordata; Mammalia; Primates; Hominidae. The record is from Rfam by way of RNAcentral.